This 625-nucleotide long non-coding RNA is filed under the name Homo sapiens (human). RNAcentral's name for it is "HSALNT0241265". The record is from RNAcentral. Lineage: Eukaryota; Metazoa; Chordata; Mammalia; Primates; Hominidae.
CAGCUAGUGAAGCAUGGGGGAGAGCCAGCACUGUCUACCCUCAGACCACGAGUUGUUGGUGGCUUCAUCUCCCAGGGGACACAGCCAACCAUGUCUUCAUGGGGAGAACGGAGGGAAACUUAUGUGGCACUGUCGCCCAAUCCAAGGAAGUGGAGAUGGAAGUCACGAGCCAGGUGGACGGGUGUUGGCAGCAGACUGCACUGGACUUAAGCCUGUGGGGAUUAGCUUGGAGCCUCACCUAAGACCUGGGGGCCACUAAGAAGGCAGAACUCCUAGCAACCCACCGCCAAGGCCGUAGAAGGGUGGAACAGACCUCCAGGUGCAAUUACUCCCAAACCCACGGAGAAGAGGAGGCCCUUUAGGGCGUAUUGGGCUGUGAAGUGAAGAGCCGGGCUCAGACCUCAGGCUCCAGGAGGAGGCAGAGUGAGAACUGUUUUCUGUAUAUACUCAGAAGUUUCCUGAGGUCUUAAGAGUAGCAAGGUGAGAAAGGGAAGGUGUUGCUAUCCUAUCUAGGUGUACAGAGAGACACACACACCAAGGAUGGAGACGGUUUAUUGUUAUACCAAAAAUAUAUGUAUAUAUCUAUAUAUAUAUGCAGAAAUAAAGGAUCAGAAGGCUAUAAACC